CAAAAAGGUGCAGCAGGAACACCUGGACUGCAACACCUGAGCCCCAGGUGUGGGAACUCCAGAACUGCACACCUGGACAGGUGUGGGAACCCCAGAACUG
Vidua macroura (Pin-tailed whydah) is the source of this 100-nucleotide long non-coding RNA. RefSeq lists it as uncharacterized. Lineage: Eukaryota; Metazoa; Chordata; Aves; Passeriformes; Viduidae. The transcript is spliced from 3 exons. The record is from RefSeq and is a predicted model, not a curated record.